This 800-nucleotide long non-coding RNA is filed under the name Ovis aries (sheep). RNAcentral's name for it is "lncRNA (ENSOARG00000026624.1)". The record is from RNAcentral. Lineage: Eukaryota; Metazoa; Chordata; Mammalia; Artiodactyla; Bovidae.
GGGGUGACCCAGGGGAGGGGUGGGGAGGGAGGGGGCGACCCAGGGGAUGGGAGGGGAGGGAGGCCGUGUGGGGUCAGGAUGGGGGGACACAUGAGCGCCUGCGGCCGAUCCAUGUUGAUGUAUGGCAGAAACCAUCACAGUAUUGUAAUUAUUCUUCAAUUAAAACAAACAAACAGAGAGAAUGUAGGCUCCACGGUGACCAUGGGCAGGAGGAAAUGUCUGGAGACGGAAAGGAGAAAGCUUCCUGAGGGAAGGUGGGCGACCUCAGGUGAGGGAAGCGUCCUUCGCCCUGAGGAUGUACGAGCGCCAGAAGGAACACGGCGAGCUCUGCCGAGGGCGGCCCCGGGCACAGGUCCCCGUGCCCCGGGGGGGGGGGGGCCCCCCCCCGAGGCCGGGCCCCCGCUCAGCCCCCCCCCCCGGCAGGUUCCCCCCGCAGCCUGUGCCCGGACCGGUCCUGGCCCACGUGUCCACCCCACUCUCCCCGGGCCAGUCCACCGAUGGCCACAUCUGCCAGCAGCCUCGGCUCGGCACCCCAGCUGUCCCCGGUCCCUCACCUGGCGGGGGGGCAGGCAGUCUCCACCUGGGUGUCCAGGUGUGGGUGCGCAGCCGUGGACCAAGCCCAGAACACCUGAGCUCUGACCUUGGCUCCGAGUGGCUCCGAGACGCCCAGCACGAGACCGCGCGCCUCCCGCCUCCAAGUCCUUAGGCCUGAACCCACGUGCUGCCCUGCCGUAGCCGAGGCCGCGAGCCCGCAGGCCUGACCUGGAGCUCCCCAGCCCUCACCGCUGUGCUCCCGCCCC